Molecule: ribosomal RNA, 493 nt
Filed under: uncultured bacterium
Lineage: Bacteria
Description: partial 16S ribosomal RNA
Rfam family: Bacterial small subunit ribosomal RNA
Source: RNAcentral
AUUGAACGCUGGCGGCAUGCUUUACACAUGCAAGUCGAACGGUAACAGGUUAAGCUGACGAGUGGCGAACGGGUGAGUAAUGCAUCGGAACGUGCCCGAUCGUGGGGGAUAACGCAGCGAAAGCUGCGCUAAUACCGCAUACGAUCUGAGGAUGAAAGCGGGGGACCGUAAGGCCUCGCGCGAUCGGAGCGGCCGAUGUCAGAUUAGGUAGUUGGUGGGGUAAAGGCUCACCAAGCCAACGAUCUGUAGCUGGUCUGAGAGGACGACCAGCCACACUGGGACUGAGACACGGCCCAGACUCCUACGGGAGGCAGCAGUGGGGAACUUUGGACAAGGGGCGAAAGCCUGAUCCAGCAAUGCCGCGUGCAGGAAGAAGGCCUUCGGGUUGUAAACUGCUUUUGUACGGAGCGAAAAGGUCUCCUCUAAUACAGGGGGCUCAUGACGGUACCGUAAGAAUAAGCACCGGCUAACUACGUGCCAGCAGCCGCGGUAA